AGGACGAACGCUGGCGGCGUGCUUAACACAUGCAAGUCGAGCGGAAAGGCCCUUCGGGGUACUCGAGCGGCGAACGGGUGAGUAACACGUGGGCAACCUGCCCUUAGCUCUGGGAUAGCUCCGGGAAACCGGAAUUAAUACCGGAUAUGACCUAGGCCGACAUCGGCCGUGGUGGAAAGUUUUUCGGCUAGGGAUGGACUCGCGGCCUAUCAGCUAGUUGGUGGGGUAAUGGCCUACCAAGGCGACGACGGGUAGCCGGCCUGAGAGGGCGACCGGCCACACUGGGGACUGAGACACGGCCCAGACUCCUACGGGAGGCAGCAGUGGGGAAUCUUGCGCAAUGGGCGAAAGCCUGACGCAGCGACGCCGCGUGGGGGAUGAAGGCCUUCGGGUUGUAAACCCCUUUCAGCAGGGACGAAGCGAAAGUGACGGUACCUGCAGAAGAAGCGCCGGCUAACUACGCGCCAGCAGCCGC
This 475-nucleotide ribosomal RNA is filed under the name uncultured bacterium. Its description in RNAcentral is "SSU rRNA". It matches the Rfam family "Bacterial small subunit ribosomal RNA", at positions 26 to 518 of the family's 1533-position model. The record is from RNAcentral.